AUUUUUUUAUACUAUUAAUUUUAUAUUAUUUCAGGCACUUCUCAAAGUAUGCCAUUGAUAAAAAACAGAGACUGGGAGAAAAACUGUAAGGAGAACAUUCCCAACUAUAUAGAAGUCCCAAAUGUAUUUGACUCUUCAACACCAAAGGCUAUGCUGCGAAAACCAGUCUCUAAAGAGUUAUCUGUGUCCUACGACAAAAGGAAAAGUUAUUUUAACCCGUUGGAAACAAGGAAGCGGAUUAUGACAUACACGGAUAAAUAAAUUAAUUUUUUGAAACAAAAAGAAAUAAGAGAGCAUCAUUUGUCAAAUUAUGCUAAAGAAGAGCAUGAAAAACAUAUGCUGCACAAAGAAGAGGCUCACAAAAAAUCCAUGCUGCAUAAAGAGGAAGCACAUCAAAA
Molecule: long non-coding RNA, 398 nt
Organism: Pieris napi
Lineage: Eukaryota; Metazoa; Arthropoda; Insecta; Lepidoptera; Pieridae
Exons: 3
Source: RefSeq, a predicted model, not a curated record